Callithrix jacchus (white-tufted-ear marmoset) is the source of this 5056-nucleotide long non-coding RNA. Lineage: Eukaryota; Metazoa; Chordata; Mammalia; Primates; Cebidae. The record is from Ensembl.
CCUGGGAGGAGGAGGCUGCAGUGAGCCAAGAUGCGCCACUGUCUUUAGCCUGGGCUACAGAGCAAGACUCCACCUUAAAAAAAAAAAAAAAUGCCUUGGGGCAUCUUUCACUCUGGUUCUUAGGAUGGAUGAAUACUCCCUACUGUUCUCUGUGCCUGAUCACAGACAGAACACUAUGAAAGCCACCUGGUGGAUGCUGGCAACACUCGCCAGUUUUAAGCCUUUUAAAAACUACCGAAAUGUGUAAAGAACAGGGCAGUGGCUACUCAUGCAUCUGCCACCGGGGCUCCCUGAUUCUUCACAUUUCACCACGUUUCCUUCAUCGCUGCAAUUUUUGCUCAACACAGACUCGCCCUGUGGAGAGGACAAAUUGGAUUCAUGACCAGACCUCCGAGAGGCUGCGUCUCCAGGCAGCUGGGGGGAAGCUGUCUGGAAACAAACACGUUUUCCAGCUCACUCGACCCUCGCAUUUCCAGAGCAGAAGGUCUGAGAAGCAUGCUGGGAUACUGAGUACAUUGGUUGUCCAACAUAGACAUCUCUCACCAACAGAGUAACAGGUAAGAAAAGGACCAUUUUAAUCUAUUGCAUCAGUUGCUACCAGGAGGAUUUCCUGGCACCUUUCUCAUUUUUAUUAUUUUCGUAUUUCUUUAAAUAAUGCAAUUAAUUAAGUACAUUAGUAUAAGUGACUAAGGGAAGCUUAUUUCCCUUCAGCAGUUUGUAUUUGGUUUUAUCUCUUUUUUUUUUUAGACAAGGUCUUACUCUGUCACCCAGGCUAGAAUGCAGUAGUGUGAUCUUGGCUCACUGCAACCUCUGCCUCCCGGGUUCAAGUGAUUCUCCUGCCUCAGCUUCUAAAGCAGCUGGGAUUACAGGAGCCCAUCAUCAUGCCUGGCUAAUUUCUGUAUUUUUAGUAGAGAUGGGGUUUCGCCAUGUUGGCCAGGCUGGUCUCAAACUCCUGACCUCAGGUGAUCUGCCAGCUUUGGCCUCCCGAAGUGCUAGGAUCACAGGGGUGAGCCACGGUGCCCGGCCUUUACCCCCUGUUUGACUGCACAGGUCCUUGUGUGAUUAAUGCUUUUACCUCGGUGUCUUUUAACCAUAGGAAGCAUAAUCUAAUCGUCUUUAGUGCUCUGACAUCCAUGCUCAUUUUCAAGUCAUAUGAGAGGCCUUGCUAACUGAUGGUCGAUGCUCACGGACAUGUGGGCUUUGACAGUCACUACCUCCUUUUCGGGCAUCAUGAGAGGAUUCCUGCAGCUUUCUACAAGAGGUAAUUAUGGCCUUCUCCCAGUCUCUGGUCACCUUCCUUUCCUGGCACGAAUUGGCCUCUUUGAAAGGUGUAUCCUUUUCAAGGAUAUGCAUGAUGUGAUUUUAUAAUUGGUAGGGGAAAUUGGGGUCAAGAGAGUCUGCUGAAGAUGAAAAGCUUAGACUGUAUCUGUGAAGCUGCCAUGGACUGGAGAACAAACAAUUGGAUUUCCCUUUGUUCGCCUGGAUGGCUGGUGAGGAUGCUUCUGGAUUCCCAAGUCAAGUUCAUGACUUAUUCAUAAACAUACGUUUAACUCAGGUAACAUUAGAGAGAGCUCUCGGAAGCCAAUCCAAGUGCAAAGACAUCCACCCAGUGGGGUGGAUUCUUCUUAAUUUUGCUGGUGCUGGGACUGUGUGCGUAUUAUUUUGACUGGGAACAUAUUACUGAGGAUGGCCCUAUAUCCUGGUAAUCAUACAUGUUAGCCCUUUAAAGGCAAUCAAGUAAAUGCGACAGUGGCCAACUGUGUUAGUGUCCUGGAAGAGUGGUUCUGAGAGAUGGGGAAAGCUAUCUCCCCAUUGCAAUCGAGGAAUAUUCCCUUCCCUGCCUUGCAUUCUCUCUGACUCAUUUUAUUUUUAUUAUUUUUAUUUUUUGAAGAAGGGUCUUACUCUGUCACUCAGGGUAGAGUGCAGUGGCAUGAUCACAGCUCACUGCAGGCUUGAUCUCCAGGACUCCAGUGAUCCUCCCACCUCAGCCUCCUGAGUAGCUGGGACCAUAGGCAUAAGCCACUAUGCCUGGCUAGUCUUUGUAUCUUUUUUUUUUGUUUUGGUAGAGAUGAAGUUUCAUCAUUUUGUCCAGGCUGAUCUUCAACUCCUGGGCUCAAGUGAUACUCCUGCCUUGGCCUCUCAAUGUGCUGGGAUUACAGCCAUGAGGCACUGCACCUGACCCUGACUCAUUUUAUGUCAUAAAACCUUGAAUAUGCAAUCGUGUGUAAUUAUCUUUCCUAUGUUUUCUGUGGCCGUUUUUCUGAACCUGACGAACAAAAGGGGUUAAUACGUUCACAUUCCCUUUAGUUACUUUUUGUUUUCUGGAAGAUCAGGAGGCAGAAGAAAAGUGGGAAAGAUAUUGAGUGACACUUUGCUUUGAGUGACAAAUGGUGGUGGCUUGUCACAGUGCUCUUAGUCUGAGGGGGCCAGGUAGGCUCGCCUUGCAAAGGGAGCACAGAGUGGGAGCAGCAGGGCUGGGGAGAGCCUCCCGCCCUCCUGGCACCAGCCUGAUGGAGAGGAGAUGAGACAGGCCAGGAGGAGGUCGGGUGGCGUCUGCAGAUUAGGAAGGACCUUGAACGUUUUUCUUUGGGCUUUGGCUUUAAUUCCAGGUGAGAGUGGAAGUCCUGGGAGUAUUCUGAGCAGAGGAUUGACAAGCUGAGAUCUGGAUGCCAUCAUGGUGUCUGCGGCAUCAGGGUCAGAGUGUUGGGGCCCAGGUAGAGUAGGGCGGGGCUGGUGCAGGUGUCUGUGUAUGUGGUAUGUAGUGGUGCAAGGGGAUGAUGACGUGGGGAUGGUGAUGGGGUGGGCUGCAGAUUCUGGAGAUGCUUUGAGGCUAGAGCCAACAGGGUUUCUUAAUGGAUGGGCAGUGGGUGGGAGAGAAUGAAGUUGAAGAUGGGUUUGGAUUUUAUUUUGUUUUUGUUUGAGCAACUCUAGUGAACGGAAUUGUCAUUAACAGCAUAGGAAAGACUGUGAGAGAAGCAUGCUUGGAAGGGACGAUAUAUGCCAGCUUUGGGCAGGUGAAGUGUAAGACGCCAGUCAGAUAUCCCAUGAGAGAAGCCAUGCAAUUGGUUGGAUGAAGGCGUCUGAGUUGGGCUGGGUGCGGUGGCUCAUGCCUGCAAUCCCAGCACUUUGGGAGGCUGAGGUGGGCAGAUCACCUGAGGUCAGGAGUUUGAGACCAGACUGGCUGACAUGGCAAAACCCCAUCUCUACUAAAAAUUCAAAAAUUAGCCAGGUGUGGUGGUGGGUACCUGUAAUCUCAGCUACUUCAGAGGCUGAGGCAGGAGAAUUGCUUGAGCCUGGGAGGUGCAGAGGUUGCAGUGAGCCGAGAUCUCACCACUGCACUCCAGCCUGGGUGACAGAGUGAGACUCUAUCUAAAAAAAAAAAAAAAAAAAACCCCACAAAAACCAGAAACAAACAAACAAACAAAAAAAUGGGUGUGAGUUCAGGGGACGCAUCUGGAAUCAUCCGUGAGAAGGGAUGGGGUCUGGGAAGAACAGAGCAGAGGUUAGUGGUCUAUGUCAGGAUGCGUGCCAGCAAAACAAGGUUGGGGUGGUGGAGAGAAUCCAGCCUGGACAUGGAGGCGGCUCUCUGAAGGAGACCAGGACAUGGUCGUGUGCAUGAGCUGAGGUUGCAAGGAGAGACAUGUUUCAAGGAGGAACAGCUGUGUCCAAGCUACCGAGGGACCACCAAGAAGAAAACAGGCAACGCACGGCUGAGAUUAGACAGCGGUGGGUCAUUCAGCACCACGGCCACUGAGAGACUCAGAGAGGCGAUGGGCGAGAAAUGCAGAUGGAAAGGGGUUUAAGAAUGACCAGGAAAGAUCUGAAACAGAGGGAACAGAUGAUUCUUCUCAGGAGUUCUGUUGUAAAGGAAGAAAAGAGGAAGGUGUCGUUGGAGGGCAUAAAGGUUAUGAGUUUUGUUUUGCCUGCUUUUCAAGAUGGGAGAAAACCCAACACUAUUGGACCGGUGGGAAUCAUCUGGGAGAGUGAAAAAAUUAUGUCAAGAUGAGAUGGGAGAGUUUCUAGGCAGUUUUCUUCAGGGAGAAGAAUGGGAUUCAGUGAGCGCAUAAGUGCAGAUCCCUGAGAAGGGAAGGGGAACCCGGCGGUGAGCGUCUGUGGCUCCCACGGGAGGGAGGAGACAUCAGACCUUUUUGAACUGGUUCCUCAGCUUUUUCCUCCUCCAUCAGGAGACACGUCUCUGCCUGAAAUUUGGGAAUUGCGUUAGGAUAGGGAGAAGAAAACUUGUCAGUGAAAGAACACAAGGAAACAAGAAAUGUGAGUGAGUGUGGAUGUGUGGUGUGUGCAUGAGUGUGGGAUGCAGGGACAGGCCCCGUAGUCUAGACAAUGUAAGAAGCUAAAAAACCCCGUGUGAGAGUUCACGCAAGGGGUUAUCUAUAGACUAAACCUAAAACAGCCCUCAAUUUCUGUGGUGGAAAUAUCUGGCCAGCUUAGAAAAUGGUGGAAGGAUACUGGGCUAUGGGAAUUCUGUGUCAGAUUAAUAAGAAUAAGGGGAAAUGAGACAGGUUUUUAAUCUAUUCACCCACCUCACAAUGCUCCUCUGGUUCCCAGUGGUCCAGGUGUGUGGAGCACAGCCUCAGAGGCAGACAUGCCCAGACAAUGUAUGUAGAACAUGGUCCCUGAACAGACUUGAGCUCUGCUAGGAACCUGUGGGGAUCCCCGUCAGAGUUUUAUGUUAAGAUGCACUUCCCUGACUUUGAUGGCUGUGUCAUGGUUACAUAGGACAGUGUCCCUGUUCUGAGAAGACAUAUGGAAAUCUUCAGGGGUAGAGUGUCUUGAAGUCUUCCACUUACUCAUAGAUGGUGUGGGAAAAAUAGAGAGAACACUUAAAGCGAAUGGGAUACAAUGCAAUAUUAUGGUUACAGUUUUGCGAAUUUUCUCUAAGUUUGAAACAUGUUCAAAGUUGCUGAGUGGGGUAAGCCUGGUGGUCUGUUUCCCGGGCUCUACCUGGGCCUCUUGAGCUUUAUGAAGCUCCCACCUGUCCAGCGGCAGGUGGAGCAUGAGUGUGGUGGGAGGUGCUGUCUCUAUCAACCCGCUUCCU